UAUUGCCCCUCGAAAAGAAAAGUGAUACGCAAGGAGCUUGCAGCAAAUAGUAAACACAGCGCCGACGACGCAGUACGUGACUGAAAACUCAUUGCAAACAACGUGAUGACGUCAACUCGGCAUGGAACAGUGUCCAGCUUCUGUGGCAAUGGGCCAUCAUUGCAGCACAAAGAGAGACACCGUUCGCUCAAGCUGCUUCGUCUUUUGGCUGAAGAGGGUGUGAUGGCCGCUGUGGAGAAGAACCCUGUCUGGUUUCCCUUGCUGCACCAGGCCAUCAUGAGUGACGUAGUGCUCCAGAUUUGAGCGCAUUAAAGCCCCAGGACGUCAGUUGAACUAUC
Molecule: long non-coding RNA, 338 nt
Organism: Rhipicephalus sanguineus (brown dog tick)
Lineage: Eukaryota; Metazoa; Arthropoda; Arachnida; Ixodida; Ixodidae
Exons: 2
Source: RefSeq, a predicted model, not a curated record